GGUGAACGCUGGCGGCGUGCUUAAGACAUGCAAGUCGAACGGGCUCUUCGGAGCCAGUGGCGCACGGGUGAGUAACGCGUAACUGACCUACCCCAAAGUCGCGGAUAACGAUUCGAAAGAAUCGCUAAUACGUGAUGUGCUGUCAGAUCCUGUUCUGCCAGUAAAGAUUUAUUGCUUUGGGAUGGGGUUGCGUUCCAUCAGCUAGUUGGUGGGGUAAAGGCCCACUAAGGCGACGACGGAUCGCCGGCCUGAGAGGGUGGCCGGCCACAGGGGCACUGAGACACGGGUCCCACUCCUACGGGAGGCAGCAGUUAGGAAUCUUCCACAAUGGGCGAAAGCCUGAUGGAGCGACGCCGCGUGAGGGAUGAAGGUCUUCGGAUCGUAAACCUCUGAAUCAGGGACGAAAGACGCGAAAGCGGGAUGACGGUACCUGAUUAAUAGCACCGGCUAACUCCGUG
Molecule: ribosomal RNA, 458 nt
Filed under: uncultured bacterium
Lineage: Bacteria
Description: partial 16S ribosomal RNA
Rfam family: Bacterial small subunit ribosomal RNA
Source: RNAcentral